UACCUUCUGUCGUAGGGCCGAAAGCCCGACCUGAAGCCCGACCGGGUCGUUUUUCCCCCUCCCUGUGGCCCAGAGGAAGCCCCCGUUGGGAUUUCAGAGGAACCCAAAACCCUAGCUUGAGAUCGCUCCCAGGAGUUCAAAUCCCAGAGAUAGAAUCCACAUCGCUCCGAAACCCUCUCAAAAGAUCUAGUUUUUCGGUGGUAAUUUUGGUGGGAGAUCUCAUGGCCAGCACCGGGUGGAGGAGAAAUCUGGGGAACGUGCGGUCCUUCGUAGGGAACGCCAUGGGGGGGCUGCGAGGGGGAAGCAACCUGGCCUCGUGGGCGGUAGCGGGGACACUCGCCUACUUCCUCUGGAUCAAACCCGCAAGCGAGCCCAAGAAGGAGCUGUAGUGCAACAGGAAACUGGCUUGAUAUAUGGGAAGAGAAAGGCGGCCCAGAAUUCAGAUAUCUGAUACGUCUAAAAUUGCUGAUAUGUUGGUGGAGUUUCUGCUUUUCUUGACAUUGCUGCUAUUUAUGUAUGUAUUUGGUCCCAGAUGCAUACUCCACGUAUGCUUAAUCGCUUUGUUUACCUCUAACUAGUGACAUCAACAAGAUUUGUUGCUUAGACUCAAGUAUUUUGACUAUCUUAUGUUGUGAAAAUGGGAGGCCUCAAUGCAGCACAGAUAUUCUACUCAAACAUAAAAUGUAGCCCAGAUAUCUUAUAGAUAAAUUCAAGACAUGGUGCUUGUAUCUUCUCAGCA
Molecule: non-coding RNA, 739 nt
Organism: Phoenix dactylifera (date palm)
Lineage: Eukaryota; Viridiplantae; Streptophyta; Magnoliopsida; Arecales; Arecaceae
Source: RefSeq, a predicted model, not a curated record